GGCCUCGUGGCCCAAUGGCAAGGCGUCUGACUACGACAAACAAGGAACCGCCACAGCGGCUCUGAGUAUUGGAAUAGCAAUCAGGAGAUUCUGGGUUCGACCCCCAGCGAGGUCA
This is a non-coding RNA of Nemania sp. FL0916, 115 nucleotides long. NCBI's taxonomy places the organism in Eukaryota, Fungi, Ascomycota, Sordariomycetes, Xylariales, Xylariaceae. The record is from the annotation of a GenBank genome assembly.